CAAUAGCGUAUAUUAAAGUUGUUGCAGUUAGAACGCUCGUAGUCGGAUUUCGGGGCGGGCCGACCGGUCUGCCGAUGGGUACGCACUGGUCGGCGCGUCCUUCCUUCCGGAGACCGUUCCUACUCUUAACUGAGCGGGGGCGGGAGACGGAUCGUUUACUUUGAAAAAAUCAGAGUGUUUCAAGCAGGCAACUCGCUCUUGCAUGGAUUAGCAUGGGAUAAUGAAAUAGGACUUUGGUGCUAUUUUGUUGGUUUCGAACACCGAAGUAAUGAUUAAUAGGGACAGUCAGGGGCACUCGUAUUCCGCCGAGAGAGGUGAAAUUCUCAGACCAGCGGAAGACGAACCACUGCGAAAGCAUUUGCCAGGGAUGUUUUCACUG
RNAcentral lists this ribosomal RNA (379 nucleotides) under uncultured eukaryote. Its description in RNAcentral is "partial 18S ribosomal RNA". It matches the Rfam family "Eukaryotic small subunit ribosomal RNA", at positions 592 to 975 of the family's 1831-position model. The record is from RNAcentral.